UCCUAAUCCAUUUAUACAUUUUUCCUUUAAUACCGAUCUAAUGCAACUUGAUCAGGAGCCCUUCUUUCCACAUCAUAUGCCUUCUUAACAUCUAAACGCACAACUGCUACACUUUCCUUAUUCACUUGGGCUGAGCUACCUGUGUUUUUCCACUGUUUCCCUGUAUGUCUUUCUCUGGGCGGAGCCCUCAUCAGUCCACUUGCUUAGCUCACCUGACGGAGAUCAGGACAACCAGCAAAAGAGUAUUUAGGACCAGCGCUGACAUCUCUUCACCGCCAGUUCAUCAGCUGACCUCACUCAUCUCUUGGAGCCAUCAUUCCAACCAUCAUACCUGCAGCUUGCAUUCCCAGGAUGCUGGCCUCUGGGCCCCCCAUGACACAAAUAAACCUGUGUUAAAGAUUCCCUUUGUGUCCAGCAACAUGUCUUUAUCCUGUCUUCCUUCUCUCACCCCAACCGGUCGCUGCAGAUGGCCCCGCCCCUCCCUGAGCCUGGAUCUGCCGGAGGUUUCUUCCUGUUAAAAGGGAGUUUUUCCUUCCCGCUGUCGCUAAAGUGCUUGCUCAUAGGGGGUCAUAUGAUUGUUGGGUUUUUUUUCUCUGUAUGUAUUA
Pelmatolapia mariae (spotted tilapia) is the source of this 605-nucleotide long non-coding RNA. RefSeq lists it as uncharacterized. Lineage: Eukaryota; Metazoa; Chordata; Actinopteri; Cichliformes; Cichlidae. The record is from RefSeq and is a predicted model, not a curated record. The transcript is spliced from 3 exons.